GCAUGCGACCCUCACUCUCUUGCACUGGGUGCACCCCUGCGUGUUCUCGAGCUCUCUCUUUGUGGCUGUCUGUCUUUUCUUGUAUGCGCAGACAAGGCAAAGGGAAACGGGGGAAAAAAUACAGGAAAGGGACGUCGGGGACAAAGGCGUGCCGCGAUCGAUUUUUUUGUCCAGCCGCGCAUCUGCGUCUCUUCCUGCCGUGCGCACAGGGAAGAAAGCGGCAAGGGCAGACUAACGUAAACGCGCACAGAGAGACAAAGGCACACGGGUACGCCAACGCACAGGCACGUUCGCAGCUUUCCUGAGCUUACGCCACACGAGCGGGAACAGCAUCAACAAAGUAGAGCUGCUGCCCACUCUUUUCACAUCCCUUUUUGUUUCUUGUGUCCGUGUGGGUUUCUGCAGCUGACCGCUUGCCUGUUUCUUGUGUGAGGUUUUGCAUGCGCAUAUUUACUGUGCUUCUCUUUGCUUGAGGCCCAACCGUACCUGCCCAACUACCUUCUCUCUCCCUCUUUGAUUCUGCUUUUAGUUGAACUGAGCCGUGCUCACGUUAGCGUGUGGUGCUUCACUCCACCAUUCCUCUCCCUCG
Molecule: unclassified non-coding RNA, 589 nt
Filed under: Leishmania donovani
Lineage: Eukaryota; Euglenozoa; Kinetoplastea; Trypanosomatida; Trypanosomatidae
Description: gene:unknown
Source: RNAcentral